This is a long non-coding RNA of Olea europaea var. sylvestris, 339 nucleotides long. RefSeq lists it as uncharacterized. NCBI's taxonomy places the organism in Eukaryota, Viridiplantae, Streptophyta, Magnoliopsida, Lamiales, Oleaceae. The transcript is spliced from 2 exons. The record is from RefSeq and is a predicted model, not a curated record.
AGAAUCAAAGAGAGAAAGAAAAUAGAAUGCACUGCACGGCAGAAAAACGUAGGAGAGAAAAGAGAGAGAGUAAUAUUGGAAAUAAAGUUUUCAUACAACAAAUAUUUUAAUCACAUGUUUUUCAAUGCCGAGAAAAUAUUUUGAACGUAUAUUCAGAUUUUUCAAACGAGGUUAGAUCGGGUCAAUUGGAACUAUGACGAAUUGGUGACGCGGGUUGCCAAGUGGAUCAAAGGAAAAGAAAAAAAAAUAAGUUUGUCGUUUUUAAAUUUACCAAUCAGUUUAGUUUUGUUCAAAAAUUGUUAUUUGAAUAUGUUAAGAGUUUAUGUUUAUGUUUAGAUA